Molecule: long non-coding RNA, 1819 nt
Filed under: Agrilus planipennis (emerald ash borer)
Lineage: Eukaryota; Metazoa; Arthropoda; Insecta; Coleoptera; Buprestidae
Description: uncharacterized LOC108739588, transcript variant X3
Source: RNAcentral
ACAGGAUACAUCAAUGUUGCAUUUGUUUUAAUUUAUUUUUAUAAACCGUAAUAGAAACCGCGCGUGCAUUUCGACUUUAUAACUUAUUUAACGAGAAAGGCUGAAUUAUUCUCUUCUAAUAGUGAAUCCAUUUAGCAUUUUAUUAAAUGUUAAAUAUUUGAAUAUGUCAGAUGGUUAUUUUGUUUAAGUGUGCUCCACAGUAUGUUAUUUUCCUUUUGAUCUGUGUAAGCUCAUGGAACGCACCAUAUUUAUCCAUAACAUAAAUUGGGAUUGUCCUGCAUCUAUGAUUAUUUAUUUAUCCAACUUAAUUUUUUUAAAGUGACGACUUAUUGCUAUUGUGAUAUUUUAGUUAAUUUUUGGUGUGUUACUUGCUUUACAAUGCAUAUUUUUAUACUAUUUCAUAUUUUAUUUGUUUAAUAGCAUGUUAAUUCAUAAUUCUUGUCGAUUUCUUGUGGAUUGAGCGAUAGACAGGAAGAAGAAUUUCCGUUUAUCGCCAGGUGAGCCUAAUGGAACGUACCCUGUUUGUCAUUAGCAUAAAUUAACAUCAUGCAUCUAUGGUUAUUUCUUUUGACCACAGCUUUCCCUUAUCUAUGCUAUUAAAAUAAGGUAUAUAGUCUAUGGUUCUAGUUUUUUCUUAUCUAUGCUUUUGAAGUAAAGUGUAAAAUCUAUGCGUUUGCUAUAUCUAUGUUUUUGAUAACUUAUUGUCUUAAAAGUGAUUCAUCGUCUCCAUUUUAACAUUGUUCUCAAUUUUUUGUAAUUUACGCUAAAUGAAAGCAAUGAAGUCGAAAGAUAUCGUUUUUCCUGAAGUUGUUUUCUUCAUCAUAUAACAUUAUACUGUUAAUAUUCAACUGAUGAAUGAGCACUUGAAAAUUUAUUAAUUUAUACUCGCAUUGAAUCAACAAAGUGUUGCCAAAGGAAGGGUUUAUGGUAAUAAACUGAAUAUCCAACAACUGAGGGAGUUGCAGUUAAUUUUAAUGCUUUUGAAACCACCAAUGCUGCUGGAAAUCAAUUUUGAAGUCGCCGAAACAACAAAUUACCUGCAGUGGUAGUGCUCCUGGAGUUAGUUUGCUCAUCACCCUUGUAGAUUCUAGAAUGCAACUUUUUGAAGUUAAUUAAGAUUGGCCAACAAAAGAGAAUUAGGAGUUAAUUUUGACCCUAGCAAUGACCAUAACCAAAGUGUACAUUUAUUCCUUUCUGAAUUUGAUUUGCUUUUUGCAAGUUGGAAGUUUAUUCUCUGCAGCUAAUAAAUCUACUGAAAAAGCAAGCUGUCUGCUGUGGUGUUCUACCUGUUAGUUUUUCAUCUUGAAGAAUAUGGCAGUUCAUUAAGGAACAUUUGAAAAACUAAAUUUAGGAGCAUUGGUUGUAUCAGUGUUCAUUAGCUCCAGAAAGUAGAUGUACCUACGGUCCUAAAGCUUGAAGGUGCCUUUUUCUCAUUGGGAGUGGAGACGGUAUGCUGUUGGUUAAGGAAGGAUUUAAGACAAUGAACUGAGUAUCCAACAAAUGAGGGAAUUGCAGUUAAUAUCCAUGCUACUGAACAACCAAUGUUUUUGAAGUCUUCACCUUGCAACAUUGUGCAGUUAGUCUUUAAUUUUGGCCAAGUGAAGGGGGAGGCCAUUGGAAAUUAGUAUUGAAGUCACUGAAACAAAUUGUCUGCAGUGGUAUCCUUCCUGAAUUUGGUCUGCUCAUCGCAUUGGUAGACUCUAGAAUGCUACGUUCCUGGAGUUGGUUUACUUUCCACACCUGUAAACUUUGGAAUGUUACAUUCUACAAUUAAUUAAGAUCGACGUUGGAGAAGACAAAGAUGACCCCGUAGUUGAAA